Molecule: ribosomal RNA, 492 nt
Filed under: uncultured bacterium
Lineage: Bacteria
Description: partial 16S ribosomal RNA
Rfam family: Bacterial small subunit ribosomal RNA
Source: RNAcentral
AGUGAACGCUGGCGGUAGGCCUAACACAUGCAAGUCGAACGGCAGCACAGUAAGAGCUUGCUCUUACGGGUGGCGAGUGGCGGACGGGUGAGGAAUACAUCGGAAUCUACUUUUUCGUGGGGGAUAACGUAGGGAAACUUACGCUAAUACCGCAUACGACCUACGGGUGAAAGCAGGGGAUCUUCGGACCUUGCGCGAUUGAAUGAGCCGAUGUCGGAUUAGCUAGUUGGCGGGGUAAAGGCCCACCAAGGCGACGAUCCGGAGCUGGUCUGAGAGGGUGAUCUGCCACACUGGAACUGAGACACGGUCCAGACUCCUACGGGAGGCAGCAGUGGGGAAUAUUGGACAAUGGGCGCAAGCCUGACCCAGCCAUACCGCGUGGGUGAAGAAGGCCUUCGGGUUGUAAAGCCCUUUUGUUGGGAAAGAAAAGCAGCAGGUUAAUACCCCGCUGUUCUGACGGUACCCAAAGAAUAAGCACCGGCUAACUUCGUG